RNAcentral lists this ribosomal RNA (116 nucleotides) under Zostera marina. The record is from RNAcentral. Lineage: Eukaryota; Viridiplantae; Streptophyta; Magnoliopsida; Alismatales; Zosteraceae.
GGAUGCAAUUAUACUAGCACUAAAGCACCGGAUCCUAUCAGAACUCCAUAGUUAAGCGUGCUUGGACGAGAGUAGUACUGGGAUCAAGGUUUUUUAGGCGACCAUGCGGUCAUGCG